This 414-nucleotide ribosomal RNA is filed under the name Cryptosoma cristatum. RNAcentral describes it as "partial 16S ribosomal RNA". It matches the Rfam family "Archaeal large subunit ribosomal RNA", at positions 1900 to 2550 of the family's 2987-position model. Lineage: Eukaryota; Metazoa; Arthropoda; Malacostraca; Decapoda; Calappidae. The record is from RNAcentral.
CAAAAACAUGUCUAUUAGGAAAUAUUAAUAGUCAAGCCUGCUCACUGACUAGAAUAAGUUUAAGAGCCGCGGUAUCUUGACCGUGCAAAGGUAGCAUAAUCAUUAGUUUUUUAAUUGGAAACUUGUAUGAAUGGUUUGACAAGGAGAAUGCUGUCUCUAAAUUAAAUAUUGAACUUAACUUUUAAGUGAAAAGGCUUAAAUACUUCAGAGGGACGAUAAGACCCUAUAAAGCUUUAUAUUUUGUCUACAUAUUGCUUGAUUAAAGUAUAAAAAGCUCGUUGUAGGUAGAUUAUUUUGUUGGGGCGACAAAGGUAUAAUUAAGAUAAUUGCUUUAUUUGCCAAUACCUAUGGGUAUAAGAAAUAUAAAUGAUCCUUAAUAAAGAUUCAAAAUCUAGUUACUUUAGGGAUAACAGA